RNAcentral lists this ribosomal RNA (213 nucleotides) under uncultured bacterium. RNAcentral describes it as "partial 16S ribosomal RNA". It matches the Rfam family "Bacterial small subunit ribosomal RNA", at positions 118 to 332 of the family's 1533-position model. The record is from RNAcentral.
UGAGCAAUCUGCCCUUCACAUCGGAAUAACCAUUGGAAACGAUGGCUAAUACCGAAUAUGACUUCGGAUCGCAUGAUCUGAAGUGGAAAGCUCCGGUGGUGAAGGAUGAGCUCGCGGUCUAUCAGCUUGUUGGUGAGGUAAUAGCUCACCAAGGCGAUGACGGGUAGCCGGCCUGAGAGGGUGACCGGCCACACUGGGACUGAGACACCGGCA